UCACAAACCAACACGAGAGGAUCAGUGUAAGCUUCCUGACCAGCUACAGGGCAGACCGCAGCACCUGUCUUUCGUGGUCACACGAUGGUUUGCGGGCUGGUGAAGAAGGUUUUCCAGAGAGGAACACACAGUCAGCAAUGAGAUGUGCCCUGUAGAUCAAGCCACGGGCCCUGCCUGGUGUCAGCCACCAGCUUAUAGAGUAUUUGGAUCACGAAAUGUACUUACCGCUCUCUCUGGAGGGACAGUGAUUCCAGCAGUCUGGGAACAGUCCAACAACUGAGUGGCAGGUGUGAGUGACCAGGAGAGAGGCGUGCACAAGCAGAACAGCAACAGGGCCUCCGUCCCUGCUUUUUCCUCUACGUUCCCCAGGACCCUGUCCUUCCUUUCAUCAGCAACCCCUUACUGGUGUGUGGCUCCUACAUCUACACCUCAAGCCCCGACUUCUUUCUAGAACUCCAGAUGAGGAAAGCCAGC
This is a long non-coding RNA of Tupaia belangeri chinensis (Chinese tree shrew), 474 nucleotides long. RefSeq lists it as uncharacterized. The transcript is spliced from 5 exons. The record is from RefSeq and is a predicted model, not a curated record. Lineage: Eukaryota; Metazoa; Chordata; Mammalia; Scandentia; Tupaiidae.